This is a long non-coding RNA of Acipenser ruthenus (sterlet), 310 nucleotides long. RefSeq lists it as uncharacterized. NCBI's taxonomy places the organism in Eukaryota, Metazoa, Chordata, Actinopteri, Acipenseriformes, Acipenseridae. The transcript has 3 exons. The record is from RefSeq and is a predicted model, not a curated record.
CAAGGCAGAUUCCUCAGGUUCAGCAGAUUCCUCAGUCCUUUCCAGUGGUUGCCUGCAUCGUACUGGGAGCUCUGCUGUUUGUGGUCUUCAUCCUCUUUGGAGGGCAGCUAGUGAAGAACAGGGUGCUGAGGAGAGGGCUUGCUGAGAGGGAGCUCGCUGAUUCCCACUUCAAUGAACCACUCUAUGAGGAGAUCGAGUACAAACUGGCCAGGCAGGGAACCUACAGCUACCCCAGGAGCGGGAGUUUCUUUGAGGAUGAUGAUCUGGCCUAUGAUGAUGUGGACGAUACUAUAGGAAGCCUCGCUGCAGG